GACGAACGCUGGCGGCGUGCCUAAUACAUGCAAGUCGAACGCAGGAAACUGACGGAACUCUUCGGAGGGAAGGCAGCGGAAUGAGCGGCGGACGGGUGAGUAGCACGUAAGGAACCUGCCUCAAGGAUUGGGAUAACUCCGAGAAAUCGGAGCUAAUACCGGAUAGUUCAUCGGACCGCAUGGUCCGUUGAUGAAAGGCGCUCCGGCGCCACCUUGAGAUGGCCUUGCGUUGCAUUAGCUAGUUGGUGGGGUAACGGCCCACCAAGGCGACGAUGCAUAGCCGACCUGAGAGGGUGAUCGGCCACACUGGGACUGAGACACGGCCCAGACUCCUACGGGAGGCAGCAGUAGGGAAUCUUCCACAAUGGACGAAAGUCUGAUGGAGCAACGCCGCGUGAGUGAUGAAGGUUUUCGGAUCGUAAAACUCUGUUGUAAGGGAAGAACACGUACGAGAGGAAAUGCUCGUACCUUGACGGUACCUUACGAGAAAGCCACGGCUAACUACGUGCCAGCCGCCGCGGUAA
This 524-nucleotide ribosomal RNA is filed under the name uncultured bacterium. RNAcentral describes it as "partial 16S ribosomal RNA". It matches the Rfam family "Bacterial small subunit ribosomal RNA", at positions 28 to 523 of the family's 1533-position model. The record is from RNAcentral.